Molecule: ribosomal RNA, 354 nt
Filed under: uncultured bacterium
Lineage: Bacteria
Description: partial 16S ribosomal RNA
Rfam family: Bacterial small subunit ribosomal RNA
Source: RNAcentral
CCUACGGGUGGCAGCAGUAGGGGAUAUUGCUCAAUGGGGGAAACCCUGAUGCAGCAACGCCGCGUGGGUGAUGAAGUUUUUAGGAUUGUAAACUCCUAUUAGGAGGGAAGAUAAUGACGGUAUCUGACGAAUAAGCACCGGCUAACUACGUGCCAGCAGCCGCGGUAAUACGGAGGGUGCAAGCGUUACUCGGAAUAACUGGGCGUAAAGAGUGCGCAGUCGGGUUUGUAAGUCAGAUGUGAAAUCCUGUAGCUCAACUACAGGACUGCAUUUGAAACUGUGAGUCUAGAGUGUAGGAGGGGCAGGUGGAAUUCCUGGUGUAGGGGUGAAAUCCGUAGAUAUCAAGAGGAAUAC